GAUGAACGCUAGCGGCAGGCCAACACAUGCAAGUCGAGGGGUAACAUAGAAAAGCUUGCUUUUCUGAUGACGACCGGCGCACGGGUGCGUAACGCGUAUACAACCUACCUUUUAGCGGGGAAUAGCCCAGGGAAACUUGGAUUAAUGCCCCAUAGUAUAUAGACUUCUCCUGAAGUUUAUAUUAAACAUUUAUGGCUAUUAGAUGGGUAUGCGUCCUAUUAGUUAGUUGGUAAGGUAACGGCUUACCAAGGCAGCGAUAGGUAGGGGUCCUGAGAGGGAGAUCCCCACACUGGUACUGAGACACGGACCAGACUCCUACGGGAGGCAGCAGUGAGGAAUAUUGGACAAUGGGCGAGAGCCUGAUCCAGCCAUGCCGCGUGCAGGAAGACUGCCCUAUGGGUUGUAAACUGCUUUUACAGAGGAAGAACCACCCCCACGUGUGGGGGGUUUGACGGUACUCUGCGAAUAAGGAUCGGCUAACUCCGUG
RNAcentral lists this ribosomal RNA (487 nucleotides) under uncultured bacterium. RNAcentral's name for it is "bacterial SSU rRNA". It matches the Rfam family "Bacterial small subunit ribosomal RNA", at positions 28 to 507 of the family's 1533-position model. The record is from RNAcentral.